RNAcentral lists this ribosomal RNA (329 nucleotides) under uncultured eukaryote. Its description in RNAcentral is "partial 18S ribosomal RNA". It matches the Rfam family "Eukaryotic small subunit ribosomal RNA", at positions 1470 to 1796 of the family's 1831-position model. The record is from RNAcentral.
CCCUUAGAUGUUCUGGGCUGCACGCGCGCUACACUGAUGCGUUCAACGAGUGUAUCACCUUGCCCGAUAGGGUUGGGUAAUCUUUUGAACACGCAUCGUGAUGGGGAUAGAUUAUUGCAAUUAUUAAUCUUCAACGAGGAAUGCCUAGUAAGCGCAAGUCAUCAGCUUGCGUUGAUUACGUCCCUGCCCUUUGUACACACCGCCCGUCGCUCCUACCGAUUGAAUGGUCCGGUGAAGCGUUCGGACCGUGGCCUUUGGACGGUUCGCCGUCUGUUGGCUGCGGGAAGUUCGUUAAACCUUAUCAUUUAGAGGAAGGAGAAGUCGUAACA